GGGUGCGUAACGCGUAUAGAACCUACCUUUUACAGAGGAAUAGCCUUUAGAAAUGAAGAUUAAUGCCUCAUAGUAUUGUAGACUGGCAUCAGUUUAUAAUUAAAGAUUUAUCGGUAAAAGAUGGCUAUGCGUCCUAUUAGUUAGUUGGUAAGGUAACGGCUUACCAAGACAGCGAUAGGUAGGGGUCCUGAGAGGGAGAUCCCCCACACUGGUACUGAGACACGGACCAGACUCCUACGGGAGGCAGCAGUGAGGAAUAUUGGACAAUGGAGGAGACUCUGAUCCAGCCAUGCCGCGUGUAGGAAGAAUGCCCUAUGGGUUGUAAACUACUUUUAUACAGGAAGAAACACUGGUAUGUAUA
RNAcentral lists this ribosomal RNA (361 nucleotides) under uncultured Polaribacter sp. RNAcentral describes it as "bacterial SSU rRNA". It matches the Rfam family "Bacterial small subunit ribosomal RNA", at positions 104 to 464 of the family's 1533-position model. The record is from RNAcentral. Lineage: Bacteria; Pseudomonadati; Bacteroidota; Flavobacteriia; Flavobacteriales; Flavobacteriaceae.